UACGGAGGGUGCAAGCGUUAUCCGGAUUCACUGGGUUUAAAGGGUGCGUAGGCGGGUUUUUAAGUCAGCGGUGAAAGCUCCGAGCUCAACUCGGAAAUUGCCGUUGAUACUAUUAAUCUUGAAUUUAGUUGAGGUGGGCGGAAUGUGUAGUGUAGCGGUGAAAUGCUUAGAUAUUACACAGAACACCUAUUGCGAAGGCAGCUCGCUAAACUAAUAUUGACGCUGAGGCACGAAAGCGUGGGGAUCAAACAGG
This 253-nucleotide ribosomal RNA is filed under the name uncultured bacterium. RNAcentral describes it as "partial 16S ribosomal RNA". It matches the Rfam family "Bacterial small subunit ribosomal RNA", at positions 524 to 776 of the family's 1533-position model. The record is from RNAcentral.